Heterocephalus glaber (naked mole-rat) is the source of this 5015-nucleotide long non-coding RNA. NCBI's taxonomy places the organism in Eukaryota, Metazoa, Chordata, Mammalia, Rodentia, Bathyergidae. The record is from Ensembl.
GUUUGUUUUUUGUGAACGCAGCAGGCUUUCAUCCGAGUUUAUGAACAGAACUAGCCAGUGGGCAGUGUUGGAGACGCAAUUAAACACCGCCAGAAGACCCGAAACGGGAAGACCUUGUCUAAUCCCUUUCUGCACCGGGCCGGGGAAAUCUCUUCUGGCAAAGUCUGGUCCCGCUGCAGAGGGUUAAGUGUUGGCUGUAAAUUUCCUGAGUCUGUACUUCAUCAUUAUUUUCUUUCAACGGGAGCUUUUAUGCUCUUCACAAAUUGAAGAACCGCUCUGGAGUUCACACGCGGCCGGGACACAUGGUGGUCCUAAUUUUCCAGGGUCACCAACCCAGAAAUGUUCAUUAUUUACAUGGCUCCUUGCUAAACUGGAUUCCUCUCUUAAGAAAAGUGGUCAUGAAUGGAGGUCAAGCUUGGACCGUGGACAUUUACUGGAAAAUGAAACAAAAAUAAAAGAAAUAAGUUCUGAUUCUCUUUAGAAUAAGUCUUACAGGUAAGUUUGGUUUCUCGGUCGGAUGCCUUCUUAGUCAAGCAAAGCGAAACGCUAGUAGCUGUGUGUGUCCACCCUGCAUUUCACCGUGGCUUUGUUUCUAAAAGAAAAUUUCUAAGUCAAGUGCUAAUUUGUUUUUGCCCUUAGAAAAAUUGAGAGUAGUGGUAAAUGCAAAGGUGGGGACAAUUGAGGACCAGGACAUCUCAGAUCCUCUUGGAAAUAAGUAAGAAAACACUCGCACCUCUUCAAGGCAAAGCUAGGUGUUUUGUCCCUUACACGUUUCCCAUCUGAUCUUCAUGGCAAUCACAAUAUUGUCACUUUUCCUCUUGCUUUUACAGGUAGGAAAGCCAAUGUGAAACAGGAAAACUGAAUCCAAAUUCAUCCAGCGUAAAAACCCAUGUAAUAUUUUCUUCCCUCUGGAAACGGGGGUGUCCGUGUACUUGACGUGGUUUGCACCAAAACUUAGGCAUGUGGUCCUGCCUGGGAGUUAAACAGGCACACGGAUUUCUUUGGAGAUUUCCAGUUCUUCGAAUGCGAUUUGCAAAAGCCAGAUUCUCUUGUGUGUAGGCUGAGCUGUCUCCCAGAAAACCAGGGGGAGAAGCCAGGCUGUAAAAAGCCCCCAAAGCAUGCAGCGCUCAGUCCUGCGGGUCGGGUUAGGGGCCAGGACUGGGUGUGGUUGUUUCCAAGGGGGAAAAAUUGGUGGAAAAAUACAUGAAUUACUCCCAAGCUACUGGCUGGGUUGGUAUUAUUUAGAAAAGAGUCAACGCGCCUAAUUCGUUCCAGAAGCCUGCUUAUCCAAACAAUGAACGCACUUCAGGCCCCCUCAGGUGAGUCAUCCACGGCCCGUCUCUGCUUUGGAUCAUUGAACUCUCUGUCCACCCAAAUCCAAGACCCAGCUCUGCAAUCAGGUUUUUUUUAUUGUUGUUUUUUUUGCAACCAUUUUAAAAGAGACAUAAAAUAAAACGGAGAGGAAACUCGAUGCCGAGAAACACACAGAGCUGCACACAUCUGGGUUUGAUUGGGGCUGUGUUUUUAUUUCCAUGUUGCAGCUUUCAUUUUUCCAAAUGACCGAUGGGUGAAAAAUUUUUAAUGGCUGUAACCCUUUUUUUCCAACCGACAACGGCGAUCCGGGCUGUCAGAGCCCCAACCACGUUGCACGGUUCUGCGAAAACAUAUCAAGGAUAGAAGUCUCCCGUCCUUACAAAAGCCCUGCUUAAUUGAUCGCGUAUGCUAUAGGGUGGCCACGUCUCCAUGUCUCACAUGACCGUGUGCAGCCUGGGGUAAUAACAGAGCCCAGGAUCCAUUUAAUAAGGAGGUUGUCAAACCCGGAAUCUGUGUACUGAGCUACAGCACUGGCUUUAUUUUAUUUUAUACCCACAUAUUCCCAAUGGCAAUUUUAGCCCUGCUUUUGGGCUGCCACCCAUCCCAUAGGAUAAAGUGUAGAAUUUCCCACUGCUUUCAUGUUCUGAGUUCCAAAAGUUAUAAGUUUUGGAGUAUAUUCGUUUUCUUAUUUUCAGAUUAUGGAUUUCAACCCUGUGGGUUUGUUUUUUUUUUAAGUGUUGGAUAAAUCUGGGGUCAGCAGCACACACAACUGUCAUCCCAGUGCUUUGGGAGGCCGAAGCAGGAGAGUCCCAAGUUCCAUCCCAGCCUGGGGAACUUAGUGACAACGCUUAGACUGUCUCAAAAUUUUAAAAAUUUAGAAAGGGAUUGGGAUGGAGAUCAGUGUGAAGGCCUUGGGUUCAAGCCUCACAGUGAAAAAUUUUAUAAAUAAAUAAAUAACAAUUUUGUCCUUUCAAAAAAUAACUGUGCUCCAUAAAAAGCUAUGUCUUCAGCUUUUGUUAUUUUAGUGAUUCACAUUAAAUUUAAUAUGUGUCUUAUUAUUAGCAGGAAGACACUAAAACUAUGCUUUCCACUCUCCUAGAAGGAGACAGUAUUUCCGACUCUGAUUACUUCCUUUGCCUCCAACAAGUUAUUGGGACAUUAAUUUUGUCUCCACCUUCUUUUCUACCUUCAAGUGAGCCAUAAUGUUACUGAUGGGGACUAUGGAGGUUCACCUAGCUGUAGGAAUUUCCCAAAGCAGUGGUGCUGUAUGCGCCCAGUGCUGGCUGGGAUUUAUAUUCUGCUUUCUUCUUCUUCGUCCUUCUUCCUUCUUCCUUCCUUCUUCUUUCUUCUUUCUUCUCUCAGCACCGGGGACUGAACCCAAGGCCUUUGCACACAACUCCAUCCCAGCCCCUCUUUGUAGCUCAUUUGGAGACAGCGUCUGGCUGAGUUGCUCGGUUGCCCAGACGGGGUCCACACUAGCUACGCUCCUCCCUCAGCCUCCCCGAGUGUGGGUCGGUUCCUGUUUUCCCCCAGCAUUUCUCAUUCCCUGUCCAUCCUGCUGAUCCUGGUGUCUUCCUCUUCCUGAGGAAAGUUCUCUUUAGGAACCAGUCCUUUCUGUCCGCAUUUGCUGUGCGGAGUCGAGACCUGACCCCAUCCUGCUCAGCGCUGAAGAUGGAAAUCUUUCUCUGCAGGUGUUUCUAAACUUUGGAUUUUUGAAAUCAUGAUGGACCCCAGGGAGCUAUCACUUGCUAUUUCUAUUUCUCUCUCUCUCUCUCCUUUGUUAGAAAAAUGUACACGUUUUCUCUCUCUACAAAUUCAGGUUUUCAAGCAGACUAUCUUGAAAUUCAUUCAAAAAAUAACUUGGUAGUCAAAGAGGAGGCAUGAUCUUUCUUUCUUUCUCUUUCUUUCUCUCUUUCUUUCUUUCUUUCUUCACACAGGGUCCCGUUAUGUAUCCAUGGCUGGCCUCAAACUUUCCAUUCUCCUGCCUCAGCCUUCCUUAGCCAGCACACAGCCCGUUGCCCUGGGAAUCCCAAGAUUAUGGUAUGAUGUGAUAGAAGCCAUGAUCAACUGGCAUCCUGGGGAUUUAUUAUGGCUCCACUGGGGACAAUCCCAUACUGGCAUGGGAGCCAAAGGCAGGAGGAGGAGGUGCCCUGCUGGGGAAACACCUACAACAGCCAAAUCUUGGAAGUGGACUGUAUGUCUAUCAGCUGAUACAUGCAUAAAGAAAAUGUGGUGUUUACACACAAUGGAGUACUAGUCUGCCGUGAAGAAGGAUAAGCUUGAGGCACAUGUAGGAAAAUGGAUGCACGUUGAGACCAUAAUGUUAAGCAAAAUAAAUCAGGCACACGAGCUUCAGUGGGGCAUGGUUUCUCUUCUAUGAGAACUCCAACGUGUAAAUAAAGAGCACAAUAAAAGACAGAAAAUAGAAAGGAGGGAGAUGAAGCUUUUGCACGUGAGAAGCGGACCAAAAGAUGCAGGGGUGGAAAGGGCAGGCGGGAAGCAAACAGGAUGAAGUUGUCCGUGCACCACGUUCCCACGGUGAAGGCAACAUUACAGACAGCAAACACAGACUAACGGAAAGCAAACACAAACCGAAAGACAGCUCAGUGUCAGGUGCGGACAACGCAGUGUCUUGCUCUGGAAUCCUGCACACCCGGAAGAGGAGCGUGUGGGCAGCGUUUGUUGACUGCCCCACACGAGCCGCGCCAAGGUCCUGUUCAGCCUCACUGUCUGUGCUCCCGUCCCCCGCGGAUCUGGCCGUGACUUUCUCUUCUUCUUCGGAAAGCACAGAAGUUCUUUGCUAAGACCAGGUUGCCAGUCCUUGGGCUCUUUGCAGAAUUCUUUCCUCUUCACCUGAGGACGAGAAGCGUCGGCUGGGGACCUCGUGUGACAAAUGAAUCUCGCAGAGAUGUUUACAGGCUGCUUAAACAAACUGCGGAUCCUUAAUCGAGUUGGGUCAACCGUGUUUAUCCGUGGGGUCCGUGCUUAGGGGCUGGAGAGCAAAUCAACAAAUACAAGUCGGGCAUCGCUGACCCGGGAAGGGUCUCCAGGGUGGGAAAUGGCAGGGCAACGUGCUUGCCAGUCACUCAAGGUCACCUUGAAAUCUCAGCAGUGGGAGUGGAAAAGUCGAUCUAUUGCGCAUGGUGACUUAAUAAAACUUGGUGAAUCUUCCUCUGGGAUGUGGACUCUCUAAGCAGUUUCGAUGUCCGGGUUAUCUUUUAUUUUGCCCAAAAUAAACUUUUUCUUAACUUGCUUUGGAAUUUGUUUCUGGAAGAAUACUCCCCAGAGGAAAGAGGGUAGCCACGGUUUCUUGAAAACUGCAUUUCUCCUCCCAAAACUCUGUGCUGAGAAUUCAAGUCGCCCCCUGGCUACGGGGCCGGCUGUCUGACACAGUCACCGAAACACGCGGUUUCAUGAAAGCUGCUCCCUUAGCAUCAUCCUCAGGCUCUCAGAUCUGCAAAGUCCCAUAAAAGUAAAAAAUAAAAUUGCAAAGUGAAAUACCUGAGCAUGGAGGCACACACCUGUCAUCCCAGUACUCUGGGAGGCCAGGGCAGGAGGAUCACAAGUUCCAGUCCAGGCUGGGCAAUUUAGCAACUUAGUGAGACCAUCUCAAGUCUCAAAAUAAAAACCGAAAGGAUGGAGCUCAGUGUGAAGGCUCUAGGUUGAAUCCUCAGGACUGCAAAUACACAAAACAAAUUUUG